RNAcentral lists this ribosomal RNA (377 nucleotides) under Kryptoperidinium foliaceum. RNAcentral describes it as "partial Bacterial large subunit ribosomal RNA". It matches the Rfam family "Bacterial large subunit ribosomal RNA", at positions 1409 to 1893 of the family's 2925-position model. The record is from RNAcentral. Lineage: Eukaryota; Dinophyceae; Peridiniales; Kryptoperidiniaceae.
GCGUAGUCGAUGGGAACCAGGUUAAUAUUCCUGGGCCAGCGGGUAGUGACGGAUUGCGGAAAUUGUCCAUCCUUACUGGAUUGGUUGGGCAGUGAAGCCGUCCCUGGAAAUAGCUCCCGCAUGAGACCGUACCCCAAACCGACACAGGUGGACUGGUAGAGAAUACCAAGGCGCUUGAGAGAACUCUGUUGAAGGAACUCGGCAAAUUACUCCCGUAAGUUCGCGAGAAGGGAGCCUGGCAUCAGGCAACUGGUGUCCAGGGGCACAGACCAGGGGGUGGCGACUGUUUAUUAAAAACACAGGGCUCUGCGAAGUCGUAAGACGACGUAUAGGGUCUGACGCCUGCCCGGUGCCUGAAGGUUAAAAGGAGGGGUGAG